ACGAACGAGCCGACGGUCCGCUGCGUCUCGUCACUCCCCCGCCCUUCCGCUCUCUGCCUAUCCUUUGGAGCAUGCGCGGGAGGGAGGUCCGACGCUAAAGUGCGUCGAGCGUCCAGUGCUCACGCCUACAGCGAAAAUCUGCCUGCGGAAGCGGAACUUGAUCCGUCCCGGAAGGCUUAUUGAACGGAUUCUGACCGCGUGCCGGGCGCCUUGGUGGCUGUAGAGGCUUGGAAGAGCCGUGCUUUUCCCCCAAGCGGCGACUUUCCUAGCUAUCGCUUUCAAUAAGCCUCGUGCUUGUGUUUUUUCAUUAGUGCAUGUACAGGUUUACAAAGGUUAUCUUUGUGACGAUUUGCAACAGUUUUUGUCUGCUCAUUUAACCCGUUUGGAUAGAUGAGGCAAGUUGAGUUCGACCUGCCAAGCUCACCAUUCUAGGCUGUGGGGAAACCAAGAAUCAAGGCGCCAGCUCAAGAGCCGGUUUUCCAUCUCCAGGAAUUCCUUUAAAACUUAAGAUGAUCCCCUCAGCCCUUUCUUAAAGGCCACCAGUAACUGCGUUCACACUUUUUCAAGUGAAUAGUCUCAUCAAAGACCCAAAUGGUGUCUUUUCUUUCUUGGGGACCUUAGUCACUUGCACAGUGCCUAUAAAUAUCAGGCACCCAGUAAAUAUUUGCUGAAUGAGUCAGCUGUCUGUAGUCAAAAAUUAUUAUCUGUAGGGUCCAAACAGCCUCCUGGAAAAUCCAGAAUGUGGCAUCUUCCAUCGCAUGUUUUUAUACUAUGCAAGUAAUCUCUGCACCCAACGUGCUGCUAGAACAUAUAACGCCAAGAUCAAGAGACCCGUGCUCCACCAACUGAGCCAGCCAGGCACUCCAGACAAGUCACCAUGUUGGCAGGGGUGAUUUAUCCCAAUCAUCGAGAGGAAGUUGGAAUUCUGUUACACAAUGGAAGAUGGAAGGACGAUGUUCGGCACCCAGUCAUUUUGAGGAUCAACGCAGUGUCAACACAAGGUUCCUGUUUUCUGCAAAGAACUAAAAAGGCAACUUCCUAAGAAUUAAGGCUGAUAUACAAACAUAGAUUUAGAGUUGACAGGUCCCCGAGGAAGAUAUCUUAUUCCAGGUUCUCUAAAGCACCGAUCUCAAUGCUAUUGACAGGCAUGAACUAGCUCACUUCAAGCAUAUGAAGGGAAAACCAGAGCCUGACUUAAACUGUGCUGUACUGCAGGUGGUCAAAGGCAAAGAGACGCAGGAAGCAGGAAGGAAGGCAGAGGAACUGGAGGCCAGCCAGGAACAAGCUGGGAAUAGCCAGACUGCACUGCUCCUUAGUUACCAUGGGCUUUGUCCAGCCAGAUGUCCUAGCAUCUCCUUGGUUUUCUGCCUGAGGAAUCUGACUAUUCAUUCUGAAGUUAUCUUAAAUGCUGUCCACAUUCACAAAUACUCCUCAGAGGCCAAAUUCAUUUUUAAAUGUUCAUCCUAGCAAGAGAUUUUUUUUUACAUAGAUGGGGAUACAGCCUGGACCUAAAUAGAUUUAGGUUCAAGUCUCAUUGUAAUUUACUGCCUAAGUGAACUUAAGCAAUUGACUAGGAUUCUCUAAUCUUCAGCUUCCUCAUCUGCCCCAAAAUCGAGAUAAUUUACUCAAUAAAUAUUCACGUUUGAGUCCCUAUUAUGUGACACGCUCAGAUUUGGAUGUUGAGAACACAGGAGAAAACCACACAGGGUAGCUUCAUUCAAGUGAAGACGGGAGAGAAAUAAAUAGACAAGACAGUAUUGGAUGUUGAUAAAUGCUCGGAAGACAAUCCACCAAGUUGAUGUGCAAGAAGUGAUGGAGUUGCAGCGUCUUUGGAGGAGGAAGAAUUUGACAUUGGAGCCGAGACUGAGGACAAAAAGACAAGAAGAAACUCGCCUCAUGAAGAUUCGGGUGUGGAGCAUUCCAAUGAGAGGGAAAGAGAAUUUCAAAGGCCCUGAGGCGGAAGAAAGCGCUUGGUGUGUCCUUGGAAUAUAAAGAAGAUAUACAAUGGAGUGAGGUGGAGAGGGGCUGGGGAGAGGUGGGAGAGGUAGGCAGGACUGAGGAAGUGGAGGAGGAUGUAAGAGCUUUGAGAAGAGCCGGGGAAUGUGUGAAUACUUGUUGGGGAGAAUGGGGGAGAGAACAUGCUGGAGAAGUGUAGUAGGGUUGCUUGGCAGCAUUGAGACUCCUUUUGAGAUGCGUGGUCAUGAAUUUCAACUAGAACUGGUUGGCAUAGUGGAUGUUGCGCUGAGAAUUAGAUGAAGUGAAUGGAAGUUUUUGACACAUGGUAGAUGCUCAGAAAUGUUCACUAGCUAUUGUAAGGGAGAAAAAUCUUAAGAUGAAGAAAACUAAACCAACUCAUCUAUUUUUGCCACCAUCUGUAAUUUAUCAGAGAGGUAAACGAUACACUAUGUAUUCUGAGCUUUGGUUUAAGACUGUUUUCCACCCAAAGGGAGUUUUUUAGCAUCUGGAUGUUUUAAACCUGAACGUUUUUGCACACCCAGUGCAAAAUGCCGCGAUUUUUUGCUCUUGUGGUCUUAAUAAACUGGAAGUAAAUUUCUCCUGUCA
This is a long non-coding RNA of Acinonyx jubatus (cheetah), 2562 nucleotides long. RefSeq lists it as uncharacterized. The transcript is spliced from 3 exons. The record is from RefSeq and is a predicted model, not a curated record. Lineage: Eukaryota; Metazoa; Chordata; Mammalia; Carnivora; Felidae.